GACGAACGCUGGCGGCGUGCUUAACACAUGCCAGUCGAACGGAAAGGCCCUUUUUUUGUGGGGCGCUCGAGUGGCGAAUGGGUGAGUAACACGUGAGUAACCUGCCCUUGACUUUAGGAUAACCUCAGGAAACUGGGGCUAAUACUGGAUAGGAGCUCAUGCUGAAUGGCGGGGGUUGGAAAGUUACGGCGGUUGGGGAUGGACUCGACGCUUAUCCGCUUGUUGGCGGGGUAGUGGCUUACCAAGGCUGUGACGGGUAGCCGGCCUGAAGGGGUGGACAGCCACAAUGGGGCUAGGGUAAGGCCCAGUCUCCUACGGGAGGCAAGAGGGGGGAAUUUUGCGCAAUGGGCCGAAGCCUGAUACAGCAACGCCGCGUGCGGGAUGUCGGCUUUCUGGGUAUAAACAGCUUUGGCAGGUGACAAAAAGUGAGUGACGGUAAUAAAAAAAGAAGCAACGGCUAACUACGUG
RNAcentral lists this ribosomal RNA (468 nucleotides) under uncultured bacterium. Its description in RNAcentral is "partial 16S ribosomal RNA". It matches the Rfam family "Bacterial small subunit ribosomal RNA", at positions 28 to 507 of the family's 1533-position model. The record is from RNAcentral.